UACGUAGGGUGCAAGCGUUAAUCGGAAUUACUGGGCGUAAAGCGUGCGCAGGCGGUUUUGUAAGCCAGAUGUGAAAGCCCCGGGCUCAACCUGGGAACUGCGUUGGAAACUGUCGGGCUAGAGUGUAGAAGAGGGGGGUAGAAUUCCACGUGUAGCAGUGAAAUGCGUAGAGAUGUGGAGGAAUACCGAUGGCGAAGGCAGCCCCCUGGGCUAACACUGACGCUCAUGCACGAAAGCGUGGGGAGCAAACAGGAUUAGAUACCCCGUGUACGUCC
This 275-nucleotide ribosomal RNA is filed under the name uncultured bacterium. Its description in RNAcentral is "partial 16S ribosomal RNA". It matches the Rfam family "Bacterial small subunit ribosomal RNA", at positions 524 to 796 of the family's 1533-position model. The record is from RNAcentral.